CUGGGAGAAGGGGUGUUGGCCAUGCCAGAGGUAGGCACAAAAUAAGACGAGACCAUCCUUCAGCUCACCCCCGGACCUCACAGAAACAAGUUGAAUGUUACGGGCUACAUCUUGCUUGUUUACUCCACACCAGUUGCUUGCAGGAGAGCAGGAUUUGGGCCCGGGGUAUUUAACAUGGCUCUUCCGGUCUCAUUAAUCACUAGAUGGUAGAAAGCGUGAGAUCUAAAUCCGUGACCGCUCCCUCCGGAGAUCCGGGGCUGAGGCGGCUAGGAUUUUAGCAGUACACUGAUUAUAUACCCGCGCUGCCUACUUAACCAAACUGCACCCGAGGGCUAAAUUAACCGACCUAAAUAAUUCAGUUAUCCCACACAGAAUGAAAGGCGAGAGCCCCUGCAUUGUUCUGGAAAUAUGCAAUUUAAUGCAGAUAGCACAGAACACCUUAGUCAAUUUCAAAUCCCGCCUCCUCGCUUUCACUUGCUCUACAGGAAAACCAGCCUGUGAGAAAACCCUUGUCUGUGUGACAUUGUUGCUUGCACGUUCGAGAAUUUCCAACCACAUCUUAACCAAGUGUUUGGAGAGGAGUCCCCGAGCGAUGCGUCCAUCCGUCUGAAGAAACGCCCACCGAUGACCCCUAGAGCCUCCGGAGGUGGUUGCUGGGGAUGUGUAGCCUGGGGAGCCUCAUUGGGUUUGUGGCCACAAGGGAGAAUCCCAGCAGGCGUAGACUCAAUCCUGAGCUUUCAACAGCUUGAGAACCUACACUGUGAGCCACUGCAACUUCUGCAGUUCAUCAGCAUGGGGCGAGAAGACAAGGAAGAACAGGUGUCCCUGGACUCCUGGAAGGGGAACUUUCUUCUUGGCUGGAUCCUGUUACAUAUAACUGAUUUGGGCAACAAUUUGAGAAUUCUGUGA
This 909-nucleotide long non-coding RNA is filed under the name Gopherus agassizii (Agassiz's desert tortoise). Its description in RNAcentral is "lncRNA (ENSGAGG00000015264.1)". The record is from RNAcentral. Lineage: Eukaryota; Metazoa; Chordata; Testudines; Testudinidae.